This 491-nucleotide ribosomal RNA is filed under the name uncultured bacterium. RNAcentral describes it as "partial 16S ribosomal RNA". It matches the Rfam family "Bacterial small subunit ribosomal RNA", at positions 28 to 507 of the family's 1533-position model. The record is from RNAcentral.
GAUGAACGCUAGCUACAGGCUUAACACAUGCAAGUCGAGGGGAAACGAUGAGAGAGCUUGCUCUCUUAGUCGUCGACCGGCGCACGGGUGAGUAACGCGUAUCCAACCUGCCUCUGACCAAGGGAUAACCCGUCGAAAGUCGGACUAAUACCUUAUGCAGUCGUCGGAAGUCAUCUGAUGACGACGAAAGAUUUCAUCGGUGAGAGAUGGGGAUGCGUCUGAUUAGCUUGUUGGCGGGGUAACGGCCCACCAAGGCGACGAUCAGUAGGGGUUCUGAGAGGAAGGUCCCCCACAUUGGAACUGAGACACGGUCCAAACUCCUACGGGAGGCAGCAAUGAGGAAUAUUGGUCAAUGGGCGUAAGCCUGAACCAGCCAAGUAGCGUGCAGGAUGACGGCCCUAUGGGUUGUAAACUGCUUUUAUGCGGGGAUAAAGUGAGGGACGUGUCCUUCAUUGCAGGUACCGCAUGAAUAAGGACCGGCUAAUUCCGUG